RNAcentral lists this ribosomal RNA (905 nucleotides) under Microbacterium sp. JUPR1. RNAcentral describes it as "bacterial SSU rRNA". It matches the Rfam family "Bacterial small subunit ribosomal RNA", at positions 63 to 973 of the family's 1533-position model. The record is from RNAcentral. Lineage: Bacteria; Bacillati; Actinomycetota; Actinomycetes; Micrococcales; Microbacteriaceae.
CGGUAACGGAUGAAGCCCAGCUUGCUGGGUGGAUUAGUGGCGAACGGGUGAGUAACACGUGAGCAACCUGCCCCUGACUCUGGGAUAACAGCCGGAAACGGUUGCUAAUACCGGAUAUGCACCAUGGCCGCAUGGUCUGUGGUGGGAAAGAUUUUUCGGUUGGGGAUGGGCUCGCGGCCUAUCAGCUUGUUGGUGAGGUAGUGGCUCACCAAGGCGUCGACGGGUAGCCGGCCUGAGAGGGUGACCGGCCACACUGGGACUGAGACACGGCCCAGACUCCUACGGGAGGCAGCAGUGGGGAAUAUUGCACAAUGGGCGGAAGCCUGAUGCAGCAACGCCGCGUGAGGGAUGACGGCCUUCGGGUUGUAAACCUCUUUUAGCAGGGAAGAAGCGAAAGUGACGGUACCUGCAGAAAAAGCGCCGGCUAACUACGUGCCAGCAGCCGCGGUAAUACGUAGGGCGCAAGCGUUAUCCGGAAUUAUUGGGCGUAAAGAGCUCGUAGGCGGUUUGUCGCGUCUGCUGUGAAAACCCGAGGCUCAACCUCGGGCCUGCAGUGGGUACGGGCAGACUAGAGUGCGGUAGGGGAGAUUGGAAUUCCUGGUGUAGCGGUGGAAUGCGCAGAUAUCAGGAGGAACACCGAUGGCGAAGGCAGAUCUCUGGGCCGUUACUGACGCUGAGGAGCGAAAGGGUGGGGAGCAAACAGGCUUAGAUACCCUGGUAGUCCACCCCGUAAACGUUGGGAACUAGUUGUGGGGGCCUUUCCACGGUCUCCGUGACGCAGCUAACGCAUUAAGUUCCCCGCCUGGGGAGUACGGGCCGCAAGGGCUAAAAACUCAAAAGGAAUUUGACGGGGACCCGCAACAAAGCGGGCGGAGCAUGCGGAAUUUAAAUUUCGAAUUGCCAAA